This is a non-coding RNA of Pan troglodytes (chimpanzee), 146 nucleotides long. It matches the Rfam family "Metazoan signal recognition particle RNA". Rfam says of the family: The signal recognition particle (SRP) is a universally conserved ribonucleoprotein. It is involved in the co-translational targeting of proteins to membranes. The record is from Rfam. NCBI's taxonomy places the organism in Eukaryota, Metazoa, Chordata, Mammalia, Primates, Hominidae.
GCCGGGUGUGGCGGCGUGCACCUGUAGUCCCAGUUACUUGGAGGCUGAGGCAGGAGAAUUGCUUGAACCCAGGAGGUGGAGGCUGCAGUGAGCCGAGAUUGGCCACUGCACUCCAGCCUGGGCGACACAGCAAGACUCCGUCUCAA